CCUACGGGAGGCUGCAGUGGGGAAUAUUGGGCAAUGGGCGCAAGCCUGACCCAGCAACGCCGCGUGAAGGAAGAAGGCUUUCGGAUUGUAAACUUCUUUUGUCAGGGACGAAGAUAGUGACGUUUCCUGAGUAAUCAGCCACGGCUACCUUCGUGCCAGCCGCCGCGGUACGGCGUAGGUGGCAGGCGUUAGCCGGAAUUAUUGGGGGUAAAGGCCGAGUAGGCGGGAGCGCAAGUCAGAUGUGAACUCUCAGGGCUCAACACUGCGCCUGCAUUUGAAACUGUGUUUCUUGAGUGCGGGAGAGGCAAGUGGAAUUCCGGGUGUAGCGGUGAAAUGCGUAGAGAUACGGAGGAACACUAGUGGCGAAGGCGGAUUGCUGGACAGUAACUGACGCUGAGGCGCGAAAGCGUGGGGAGCAAACAGGAUUAGAUACCCCUGUAGUC
Molecule: ribosomal RNA, 443 nt
Filed under: uncultured bacterium
Lineage: Bacteria
Description: partial 16S ribosomal RNA
Rfam family: Bacterial small subunit ribosomal RNA
Source: RNAcentral